Molecule: long non-coding RNA, 4944 nt
Organism: Myiozetetes cayanensis
Lineage: Eukaryota; Metazoa; Chordata; Aves; Passeriformes; Tyrannidae
Exons: 4
Source: RefSeq, a predicted model, not a curated record
AGGGUAACAAUUCCCUGACUCAAACCCCCUUCAUGUGGACAUUCACCUGGACUUGUCUGUGCUGGCACCUACGGAACCGCAUGUAAGACUCACUGGAAACAACCCACUUAGUCAUUCUUGCUAAACCAUCCCAUGCCCGGUGAAAACUGUGUAAGCCCAGACUGAAGUUCAAGGAUAAGGAGGAAAGCUCAGCCUGUUCUUCAGGGCUUUCCUGCAAGUGGAUGCUCUUCAGGAUCAGAGCCUUAAGGAACUGCAUUUCUCCAGUGAUCUGCCCUUCAAUGUUUUCCUUGCAGCCCAUAAAAGCUGCUCUCGCAUAGUUGAUCAUGCUCAUUUCAACAUCUAUGCCUCUUAAGGAGUUCUUUUCCCAAUUCCAAACAAGGAAAAAUAAAUUCUUCAUGGCAAGAUCGUCUCCAUUCAGUCUCUAAACUCUCAGCCCACAGCUGAUGUUUUACAUCACUGCCUUUUCUGGGGAGAACAUCCCUGGAAGUGGAUGACAACCAGCCUGCUCAGCUUAGGGCCGUACAGAGCAGGAGUGAGCACAAGGCCUCUCUGGUGGAACAUCUCAAAGCUCUUGGCACGUGGCAACAAAGUGAAAUUUGCUGAGGCCAUAUGGAAAGGGACAGAGGAUUCAUAUUAGCAUCUUACCAUUUGGUUUUGUUUUCCUGUUUCCAUCCUUGAGGAGGAAUAAAGUAUCUUCAAGGUGCCUCUUCGCUGGGCGCCAUAUACCCCUCAAGUGCCCGCUCAAGUCAUUUGCAAAUUUUUUCUUCUCACACCCUUGCCCUUUUUUCACUGUUCAUCCCCCAUAGUCAGUGGGAUGUUUUUCACAUUGUUUCUUCUUUCUCUAUCCUGCCACCUUGGGGAGCUUGGUGGCUGGGCUAGGACCAGCUUGGGGCCCAGAAGGAGAAGGCCAUUUAGGGACUUCUCUGACCAGCCUUGGCUGUAACUAAAAUGGCCUCAGCCCUGUGCUGUCUUAUGCCUUCUCUUAUGGUGCUGGAAACCCUGGAAGGCAAGAACUGGCUGCAAAACAGUGACACAGCGACCAGAGAUGAACCUCACCUCUCACACAGUCCAGGCAAGCUGGUAGAGGUUGCUCAAAGCAGGUGCAGAUAAGAUCAAAUUAUCUUCUCCAUCCUUCCAGAUCAGUGGUCCCAGGCCCUUUCCCCGGCCUCUCUCUGUUGUGUCAUAUCAAUUUUACACCCUUGACUUGGAAGUCAUGUUCCUGGUACACAUGAGCACAUGUGGCAGAAGGUUCAGCCUUUGAAUCAAUAGCUUUCCUCACACCCAAAGGGACAUGUGUCCCUGACCCCUGGGACUCAGGAUGAACCCCUGGGACCCAGGAUAAGCCCCUCCAAUGCAUUAGUUUUAUGGCUUGAUCUGCCACAUCAACUGGAGCUUUUUCCCCUCUUAAGAGUGAAAGGCUCUGAUCUCUCGUUACAAAUAUUUGAAUCUGUAAUUAAUCAUAAUCUGUGACAUAUGAAGCAAAGCUCUGGUAACCUUCUACUAACCUUUUAUUAUUAGUCCAAUAAAAGUAUCACAUGUAAUAUGUCUGUCUUGUUGAGGGCUAAUCCCUCUCCUGAAGCACUUUGGCAACAUAUUAACAAUAGUAUCCUGCAGUCCUCUGAAGAAUCCUCAGGGUUCUCUUUUAAAAAAAACAAGGACUGGUUUGAUGAAAAUAAUCAAGAGAUCCAGGAAUUGGUGACAAAGAAGAGAACUGCUCACCAAGCACACCUUGCUCAGCCAUCUUGCUAUGUAAGAAAAGCAGCCUUUUGUCUUCCAUGCAGUCAGCUCCAACAGAAACUUCGAGACAUCCGGAACAAGUGGUGGAUCAAUGUAGCAGAAAGGAUUCAAUUAUGUGCAGAUGGGUGAUUACAGAGGAUUCUAUGAAAUCAGCGUAUGGACCUACACACCAGGUUCAAAGCCCUUUACUCAGCGCAGAUGGUCAAAUGCUUCUCACAGAUAAGACUUCCAUUCCCAAUCGAUGGUCUGAACAUUUUCAGACUCUCUUCAGUACCAGCUGUGUAGUUCAAGGCUCAGCAAUUCAGUACAUUACACAACAACUGGUGAAAAAUGAAUUGGAUAUUGUCCCCACUAUGGGAGAAACUCUUCAGGCCGUACAGCAGGUAAAAACUGGCAAGGCAGCUGGGGUUGAUGGAAUUCCACUUGAAGUCUGGAAGCAUGGAGGCCAAGCUGGUGGUGCAUUGUUGGGAACGAGACAAACUACCAUCAGACCUUUGUGACACAGUCAUCAUCACUCUGUAUAAGAAGAAAGGAGAUAAAUCAGACUGUUCAAAUUACAAAGGUAUUACUUUGUUCUCUAUUGCUUUUGCAAGAAUACUUCUAACAGAUUAAUACCUGCUAUCUCAGAAGACCUUCUACCUGAAAGGCACUGUGGUUUUAGAGCUAAUAGGAGCACCACAUACAUGGUAUUCGUUCUCAGACAACUGCAAGAGAAGUGUAGGGAACAGAAUAAAGAACUCCAUGUAACUUCUGUUGAUUUCACCAAAGCUUUUGAUACUGUGAGCAGAAAAGGUUUGUGGCAGAUUUUGGAACGUUUAGGAUGUCCCCCCAAGUUCCUCAAAAUGAUCAUUUUGCUUCAUGAGGAUCAGCGUGGCCAAGUCAGAUACGGCAAUGCACUUUCUCAGUCCUUUCUAAUAACCAAUGGUGUGAAACAAGGCUGCGUUCUUGCACUAACUUUAUUCAUAAUCUUCUUCAGCAUGAUGCUCCAAAGGGCCACUGCAGACCUCAAAGAAGAAAAACAUAUCUACAUGUUGUAGAUACCAUAUCUAUAUGAGCAAGUUAAUACAGGUUAUCUGUUAUGUAAUGACCGUGGUGUAGAUAGGGAGUUGAAGUCCUGAUGGAAGCCGUGAGAGGAUGACCAGUUAUGGGUGUCCCAGAAAGAAGCUUUGAAGUGAUUGGACAGGACUGUGCUUACUCCCCCCACAUUUUGUAACCAUGCCUUUUUCAAAUAUAGGAACUUGUUCAGUUUUAAUAAAGUCAGUCUCUCCAUUUUCACCAUUCCAGGAGGGUUGUGUUUUUAUUCACUGCCACAUCUACAUUCGAUAUCGUACCAAUGGGAGCCUAUUCAACCUAAGGUGACUGAAGGCCCAUACUAAGACUUUAAAUCAUCUUGUCCGUGAGCUGCUUUUUGUGGACGAUACUGCCCUCGUUAUCCACACAGAAGCAGCUCUGCAGCAUUUAACAUCCUGCUUUGCAGAGGCUGCUGAGCUUUUUGGGCUGGAAGUCAGCCUGAAGAAGUUUUCUACCAACCUGCACCUCAGGAAGUCUUUCAUCAUCCCCAUAACAUCAUUGGCAAAUCAGAGCUCAAGUCAGUCCGGCAGUUUAAUUAUUUGGGAAGCAUCAUCUCCUCGGACAGUAAAAUUGACAAAGAGAUAGACAAAAGGUUGGCAAAAGCAUAGAGAGCUUUCGGAAAAAUCCAUAAAACAAUUUGAUGUAAUAAACACCUGAAGAAAAGUACAGAGAUCAGUGUUUACAGAGCCGUUGUACUGUCUACUCUUUUAUAUGAGUCUGAAUCGUGGGUCAUUUACCGCCACCACUUGCGUCUCUUAGAACGCUUCCAUCAGCGCUGCCUCCGUACAAUCCUAAACAUCCACUGGACGGAUUAUGUGACCAACACGUCUGUCCUUGAUCAGGCAGCAGUCACGAGCAUUGAGGCCAUGCUGCUGAGAACACAGCUGUGCUGGGCAGGGCACGUCUCCAGGAUGCAGGACUGCCGCCUCCCUAAGAUCGUGCUCUGUGGGGAACUUUCCACUGGCUGCCGCAAGAGAGGAGCCCUGAAGAGGAGAUACAAGGACUCCCUGAAACAAUCUUUCCACUUUGGCCAUCAUGAUCAUCACCAUUGGUCUACCCUGGCUUCCAGUCAGGAGGCCUGGAGACACACCAUCUAUAACGCUGCUGCUGCUUUUGAGAACACACGCAGGAUCACUCUCAAGGAGAAAGGACAAUGCAGAAAGAAUCGCAUCUUGUUGAUACCACCUAGGGAGUCUUUCUGCUGUGCCUUUUGCAAUGAGACUUGUCUAUCUCUCAUUGGCCUUUUUAACCAUCAGCGUGCUCAUAGCAAGCAUGGGUAGAGCCCUUCUCAAAUCUUUGUUUGCAAAGCCCAGACAUGAUGAUGAUGAUGAUGAUGAGGGCUAAUAUUUGGCUUGUGAUUAUUUCCUGUAAUCUGCUGUCAGAGGAGCCCUCAGUGUGAAAUUCAUGUUCUUUCUCCAGCCAUGCCACCAGCAGGUGGGAAAUCUCUGGACUUCUCCUGGUGUGGUUUCCAGUGGCUGCAGGUUGCUGCCACACUUCAGAGACUGAUCACUGGGUCCCUGUGCACAGGAACAGAGAACACAACUUCACCUUGAGGGUUUUUCCUUAGGAGAAGCCACUGCUGUGCUUGUGCUCUUGAACUUCUGAUGUGAUUGAAAAUUGCUGUCUUAGAAAUGAGAAGAUGAAUUUUAAAAGUCCCAAGACUUCUCAGCUCAAAAGAACUCCUGUUUUUGAGAGCCUGGACUCUGACUUGGGAACCCUCCAAAGCUGGAAGCACUAUGAGCCAUGUCGUCUGACUGAAAAGUGGAUGGUUUGGCCAGGUAAGCUCAGCUGUCAGCUCAGGCCAAAACCGGUAAUUGGAAAACCAGAAAACCAGGAAGGAAGGGGAUGAAUGGGAACCUGAGGCAGGACCAAGAGAAGAGGCAGUGAGGACAGAGAUGCUGGAGCAUGGUAAAGAAAGAAAGCAGAACAGGAACCAAGCAUGGAGGCCUCCAGCCAAGCCACCCCGUGCUUCUCUCAGCCUGUCUUUCAUGUCUCGUAGUGUUUGGGUUUCUCUAAACUUAGAAAAUUCCCACAUAUAGAUUUUUUUAUCUUAUCACCAAGGCUGCUAAGUGCAACCCAAACUAAGAGACACUACAUAGAAUAAAUACUUAAACAGUAAACCCACAGAAAUCACAA